GCAGUCGAGCGAACAGACAAGGAGCUUGCUCCUUUGACGUUAGCGGCGGACGGGUGAGUAACACGUGGGUAACCUACCUAUAAGACUGGGAUAACUUCGGGAAACCGGAGCUAAUACCGGAUAAUAUUUCGAACCGCAUGGUUCGAUAGUGAAAGAUGGUUUUGCUAUCACUUAUAGAUGGACCCGCGCCGUAUUAGCUAGUUGGUAAGGUAACGGCUUACCAAGGCGACGAUACGUAGCCGACCUGAGAGGGUGAUCGGCCACACUGGAACUGAGACACGGUCCAGACUCCUACGGGAGGCAGCAGUAGGGAAUCUUCCGCAAUGGGCGAAAGCCUGACGGAGCAACGCCGCGUGAGUGAUGAAGGUCUUCGGAUCGUAAAACUCUGUUAUUAGGGAAGAACAUACGUGUAAGUAACUAUGCACGUCUUGACGGUACCUAAUCAGAAAGCCACGGCUAACUACGUGCCAGCAGCCGCGGUAAUACGUAGGUGGCAAGCGUUAUCCGGAAUUAUUGGGCGUAAAGCGCGCGUAGGCGGUUUUUUAAGUCUGAUGUGAAAGCCCACGGCUCAACCGUGGAGGGUCAUUGGAAACUGUAAAACUUGAGUGCAGAAGAGGAAAGUGGAAUUCCAUGUGUAGCGGUGAAAUGCGCAGAGAUAUGGAGGAACACCAGUGGCGAAGGCGACUUUCUGGUCUGUAACUGACGCUGAUGUGCGAAAGCGUGGGGAUCAAACAGGAUUAGAUACCCUGGUAGUCCACGCCGUAAACGAUGAGUGCUAAGUGUUAGGGGGUUUCCGCCCCUUAGUGCUGCAGCUAACGCAUUAAGCACUCCGCCUGGGGAGUACGACCGCAGGUUGAAACUCAAAGGAAUUGACGGGGACCCGCACAAGCGGUGGAGCAUGUGGUUUAAUUCGAAGCAACGCGAAGAACCUUACCAAAUCUUGACAUCCUUUGACAACUCUAGAGAUAGAGCCUUCCCCUUCGGGGGACAAAGUGACAGGUGGUGCAUGGUUGUCGUCAGCUCGUGUCGUGAGAUGUUGGGUUAAGUCCCGCAACGAGCGCAACCCUUAAGCUUAGUUGCCAUCAUUAAGUUGGGCACUUUAAGUUGACUGCCGGUGACAAACCGGAGGAAGGUGGGGAUGACGUCAAAUCAUCAUGCCCCUUAUGAUUUGGGCUACACACGUGCUACAAUGGACAAUACAAAGGGCAGCGAAACCGCGAGGUCAAGCAAAUCCCAUAAAGUUGUUCUCAGUUCGGAUUGUAGUCUGCAACUCGACUACAUGAAGCUGGAAUCGCUAGUAAUCGUAGAUCAGCAUGCUACGGUGAAUACGUUCCCGGGUCUUGUACACACCGCCCGUCACACCACGAGAGUUUGUAACACCCGAAGCCGGUGGAGUAACCAUUGGAGCUAGCCG
This 1414-nucleotide ribosomal RNA is filed under the name Staphylococcus haemolyticus. RNAcentral describes it as "bacterial SSU rRNA". It matches the Rfam family "Bacterial small subunit ribosomal RNA". Lineage: Bacteria; Bacillati; Bacillota; Bacilli; Caryophanales; Staphylococcaceae. The record is from RNAcentral.